RNAcentral lists this ribosomal RNA (393 nucleotides) under uncultured bacterium. Its description in RNAcentral is "bacterial SSU rRNA". It matches the Rfam family "Bacterial small subunit ribosomal RNA", at positions 21 to 414 of the family's 1533-position model. The record is from RNAcentral.
GGCUCAGAUUGUACGCUGGCGGCAUGCCUUACACAUGCAAGUCGAACGGCAGCAUAGGAGCUUGCUCCUGAUGGCGAGUGGCGAACGGGUGAGUAAUAUAUCGGAACGUGCCCUAGAGUGGGGGAUAACUAGUCGAAAGAUUAGCUAAUACCGCAUACGAUCUACGGAUGAAAGUGGGGGAUCGCAAGACCUCAUGCUCCUGGAGCGGCCGAUAUCUGAUUAGCUAGUUGGUGGGGUAAAAGCUCACCAAGGCGACGAUCAGUAGCUGGUCUGAGAGGACGACCAGCCACACUGGGACUGAGACACGGCCCAGACUCCUACGGGAGGCAGCAGUGGGGAAUUUUGGACAAUGGGGGCAACCCUGAUCCAGCAAUGCCGCGUGAGUGAAGAAGG